RNAcentral lists this ribosomal RNA (396 nucleotides) under uncultured bacterium. RNAcentral's name for it is "bacterial SSU rRNA". It matches the Rfam family "Bacterial small subunit ribosomal RNA", at positions 360 to 773 of the family's 1533-position model. The record is from RNAcentral.
AAUAUUUCACAAUGGGGGAAACCCUGAUGCAGCGACGCCGCGUGAGUGAAGAAGUAUUUCGGUAUGUAAAGAUCUAUCAGCAGGGAAGAUAAUGACGGUACCUGACUAAGAAGCCCCGGNUAACUACGUUCCAUCAGCCGCGGUAAUACGUAGGGGGCAAGCGUUAUCCGGAUUUACUGGGUGUAAAGGGAGCGUAGGUGGCAAGGCAAGUCAGAUGUGAAAGCCCGGGGCUCAACCCCGGUACUGCAUUUGAAACUGUCUAGCUGGAGUGCAGGAGAGGUAAGUGGAAUUCCUAGUGUAGCGGUGAAAUGCGUAGAUAUUAGGAGGAACACCAGUGGCGAAGGCGGCUUACUGGACUGUAACUGACACUGAGGCUCGAAAGCGUGGGGAGCAAAC